RNAcentral lists this ribosomal RNA (403 nucleotides) under bacterium WP2ISO22. RNAcentral describes it as "bacterial SSU rRNA". It matches the Rfam family "Bacterial small subunit ribosomal RNA", at positions 38 to 427 of the family's 1533-position model. The record is from RNAcentral.
GGCGGCAGGCCUAACACAUGCAAGUCGAGCGGCAGCGACAACAUUGAACCUUCGGGGGAUUUGUUGGGCGGCGAGCGGCGGACGGGUGAGUAAUGCCUAGGAAAUUGCCCUGAUGUGGGGGAUAACCAUUGGAAACGAUGGCUAAUACCGCAUGAUGCCUACGGGCCAAAGAGGGGGACCUUCGGGCCUCUCGCGUCAGGAUAUGCCUAGGUGGGAUUAGCUAGUUGGUGAGGUAAGGGCUCACCAAGGCGACGAUCCCUAGCUGGUCUGAGAGGAUGAUCAGCCACACUGGAACUGAGACACGGUCCAGACUCCUACGGGAGGCAGCAGUGGGGAAUAUUGCACAAUGGGCGCAAGCCUGAUGCAGCCAUGCCGCGUGUAUGAAGAAGGCCUUCGGGUUGUA